This 556-nucleotide ribosomal RNA is filed under the name uncultured bacterium. Its description in RNAcentral is "partial 16S ribosomal RNA". It matches the Rfam family "Bacterial small subunit ribosomal RNA", at positions 355 to 932 of the family's 1533-position model. The record is from RNAcentral.
UGGGGAAUAUUGCACAAUGGGCGAAAGCCUGAUGCAGCAACGCCGCGUGAGUGAUGAAGGCCUUCGGGUUGUAAAGCUCUGUCUUUUGGGACGAUAAUGACGGUACCAAAGGAGGAAGCCACGGCUAACUACGUGCCAGCAGCCGCGGUAAUACGUAGGUGGCAAGCGUUGUCCGGAUUUACUGGGCGUAAAGGAUGCGUAGGCAGAUUUUUAAGUGAGAUGUGAAAACCCUAAGCUUAACUUGGGGACUGCAUUUCAUACUGGAAAUCUAGAGUGCGGGAGAGGAGAAUGGAAUUCCUAGUGUAGCGGUGAAAUGCGUAGAGAUUAGGAAGAACACCAGUGGCGAAGGCGAUUCUCUGGACCGUAACUGACGCUGAGGCAUGAAAGCGUGGGUAGCAAACAGGAUUAGAUACCCUGGUAGUCCACGCCGUAAACGAUGAGUACUAGGUGUAGGAGGUAUCGACCCCUUCUGUGCCGCAGUUAACACAAUAAGUACUCCGCCUGGGAAGUACGAUCGCAAGAUUAAAACUCAAAGGAAUUGACGGGGUCAUAGCUG